Molecule: ribosomal RNA, 253 nt
Filed under: uncultured bacterium
Lineage: Bacteria
Description: partial 16S ribosomal RNA
Rfam family: Bacterial small subunit ribosomal RNA
Source: RNAcentral
UACGUAGGGUGCAAGCGUUAUCCGGAAUUAUUGGGCGUAAAGAGCUCGUAGGCGGUUUGUCGCGUCUGCUGUGAAAACUGGAGGCUCAACCUCCAGCCUGCAGUGGGUACGGGCAAACUAGAGUGCGGUAGGGGAGAUUGGAAUUCCUGGUGUAGCGGUGGAAUGCGCAGAUAUCAGGAGGAACACCGAUGGCGAAGGCAGAUCUCUGGGCCGUAACUGACGCUGAGGAGCGAAAGCAUGGGGAGCGGACAGG